GACGAACGCUGGCGGCGUGCCUAAUACAUGCAAGUCGAGCGGACCGACGGGAGCUUGCUCCCUUAGGUCAGCGGCGGACGGGUGAGUAACACGUGGGUAACCUGCCUGUAAGACUGGGAUAACUCCGGGAAACCGGGGCUAAUACCGGAUGCUUGAUUGAGCCGCAUGGUUCAAUUAUAAAAGGUGGCUUUCAGCUACCACUUACAGAUGGACCCGCGGCGCAUUAGCUAGUUGGUGAGGUAACGGCUCACCAAGGCGACGAUGCGUAGCCGACCUGAGAGGGUGAUCGGCCACACUGGGACUGAGACACGGCCCAGACUCCUACGGGAGGCAGCAGUAGGGAAUCUUCCGCAAUGGACGAAAGUCUGACGGAGCAACGCCGCGUGAGUGAUGAAGGUUUUCGGAUCGUAAAACUCUGUUGUUAGGGAAGAACAAGUACCGUUCGAAUAGGGCGGCACCUUGACGGUACCUAACCAGAAAGCCACGGCUAACUACGUGCCAGCAGCCGCGGUAAUACGUAGGUGGCAAGCGUUGUCCGGAAUUAUUGGGCGUAAAGCGCGCGCAGGCGGUUUCUUAAGUCUGAUGUGAAAGCCCCCGGCUCAACCGGGGAGGGUCAUUGGAAACUGGGGAACUUGAGUGCAGAAGAGGAGAGUGGAAUUCCACGUGUAGCGGUGAAAUGCGUAGAGAUGUGGAGGAACACCAGUGGCGAAGGCGACUCUCUGGUCUGUAACUGACGCUGAGGCGCGAAAGCGUGGGGAGCGAACAGGA
RNAcentral lists this ribosomal RNA (768 nucleotides) under uncultured Bacilli bacterium. RNAcentral's name for it is "bacterial SSU rRNA". It matches the Rfam family "Bacterial small subunit ribosomal RNA", at positions 28 to 777 of the family's 1533-position model. The record is from RNAcentral. Lineage: Bacteria; Bacillati; Bacillota; Bacilli.